GCUGAAGUGGAACAUGGCCAAUACGAUCUGAUUUUUUUCCCGAUAUGGGGUGCUGCGUUGAAAUAUGUCAUAUGUUUUGAUUUGCCAGACGGGAAAAUGAAUAUCAUUGAACACAGUUUGGCAGAACCGCACGCUUCCUUUGAAGCCAAGUACGGCAAGACACCAUCUCUUUUGAAAAAGUUCUUUGCUGAUGCACUAACGAGGUGCAAAGUCCCUAAGAUGGCAUCCCAGGUCCGACAGUGCAGAACAAACUUGGUAGCCAUGCCUUGGAGGAACAAUAACG
Long non-coding RNA from Salvia splendens (bonfire salvia), 283 nucleotides. RefSeq lists it as uncharacterized. The record is from RefSeq and is a predicted model, not a curated record. NCBI's taxonomy places the organism in Eukaryota, Viridiplantae, Streptophyta, Magnoliopsida, Lamiales, Lamiaceae. The transcript is spliced from 3 exons.